UUCAACCAUUACAUGCGGAUUAUCUGCCGGAACGGGCUAUCUGAGCAUUUUAUUAUCCUAAAACGUAAAUAUAGAUCGCUGCGGACUAUCUACUGUAGCGGGUAAUACGCAGGAAAUUACGGUACCUGUCGUGUGGGGGAAGACAAAGCUGGAUGUAUCUUACUAACGAAAGACAUCAAAACAUGUACCGGAGUGUCUAGUGGUUUCUUUGUGUGGAGUUUGUUACAGGACGUUCUCACUCUAUGAAGGUGUAUUCGAGUCUGAUUCGACUCAUGGUGACGCUGGUUCUACGACGUCCACACUCACAACACACACUGGAUGUAAAUAUCAGACUGACAACGUCGACAGCAGCGCCAUCCUCUGUUAUUUCAGCUGGAUAACAUUUGGAGGGGAUCGGAGAAUCGAUUCUAUGGGAUUUUGUUUUCAAUACAUUUUUGGGGCCAUGUUUGUUGAGUGAAUGCUCGGAAACAUUGUUCCUGGCUUGACGAGCAAGGAGAUCGGUUAUGUUUUCUCUUUAGAUGUUCUGGUCAUAAGAGUUUAAUUGAAGCCAUCCUGCAAACCUGGGUGUAAUGUUAAUCCCUGAUAUACAUAUAUCCAAUACACUGCGAACACUAAGACAUGAAAACUCAAACCAAUAAAGGGAGCUAAAUUGUGUAUUAAUACAGGAGAGGAUAACUCAAAAAUAACAAGAACACGGGAGAUAAAUUGUGUACAUAACCUCAUAAUUUAUCCUCAUCCAUACCAUCACAUCCUACAUAAACUGCAGUCAGCUCAAAUUGCGUCAAUAUUUAAUCUAAAAUAUUUCUAAGCACAGCAUUGAUUCAAAAUUCAGUUUGUCAUCUUGGAGAAAGUUUUAUUUUAAGAAGGCAGUUGUAUUAAUGACUAUUCAUUUUUCAUCUUUUAUCUUGACAGUUCCAAAACCAUAUUCUCCUGUCGUAAAAGUAGGCUUUCAAAUUGAACCAUGUCAGUUUUUUACACAUUAGGUCCUAAAAUUCCAUUUUAUUUGAUUGUGUGACUUUUGGUAUGUUGGUCAAAACCAACUGUGUUAGUAUCUUUUAAACUAUUAUCUAAUUUAAACAUUAAUAAUAAUGACGUCAUCGUCUACCAUACCACACACAUCAUCGUUGCCAAUGACGACCACAGUAACCCGUAACAUCACAGACAAUCACCUGUACGAUCUCAACGAUGACAUCGCGAGAACUCUCAUCCCAGCCAUGGUCUACGUGGGCGUCACGAUGCUGUUCGGGGUGUUUGGCA
Long non-coding RNA from Gigantopelta aegis, 1257 nucleotides. RefSeq lists it as uncharacterized. The transcript has 3 exons. The record is from RefSeq and is a predicted model, not a curated record. NCBI's taxonomy places the organism in Eukaryota, Metazoa, Mollusca, Gastropoda, Neomphalida, Peltospiridae.